AAUUGUGUUUUUAAUUCACAUCUAUGUUGCCUGGUUCUGCCAAAAUUUUUUGUAAAUUCUCCAAGGUGAAUAUCCUAUGCCAUGAAACUGAGCUCCCCUCUGUCCUAAGGGGAUCUGAAAGCUUCACCGGCAUAAUGAACAUUUCCAAGUUCCUCUUCAAUCCGCAGAAGCUGAUUAUACUUGGCCAAUCGCUCACUUCUGCAAGGAGCUCCAGUCUUGAUCUGUCCGCUAGCCAAGCCAACAGAAAGAUCGGCAAUAAAGUUAUCCUCGGUUUCACCACUUCGGUGGCUGACCAUCACACCCCAACCUGCAGCUUUUGAGUCGAGUGCUGCUCUAAUGGACUCGGUCACUGUGCCAAUCUGGUUAACCUUGAGAAGUAAACCAUUGCAAGCCUUUUUCUGAAUUGCUUCAGCAAUUCUCUUUGGGUUUGUGACCAACAAAUCAUCCCCUACAAGUUGGAUAUCAACUGAAGACUGUAGUGAAGCCCAUGAGUUCCAAUCAUCCUGGUCAAAAGGGUCUUCAAUGGACACAAUAGGGAACUCCUUGACAAAGUCCUUGUAGAGCUCACCAAGGCUCUGAGCUGAGAGCACAUGAGCCCCAUCAUUUGGUUGUUUCUUGAAGUUCAAAUCAUAUUUUCCAUCCUUUGUGAGAAAUUCUGAGGCAGCAACAUCCAUUCCAAUUUUGAUCUUCCCUGUGUAACCAGCCUUUUCAAUUGCUUCCAUAAGCAAAACUAGUCCCUCCCUAUUAUCCUGCACAUUAGGAGCAAAUCCCCCUUCGUCUCCAACAUUGCAAGCAUCCUGUCCAUAUUUAGCCUUG
This 816-nucleotide unclassified non-coding RNA is filed under the name Hevea brasiliensis (rubber tree). The record is from RNAcentral. Lineage: Eukaryota; Viridiplantae; Streptophyta; Magnoliopsida; Malpighiales; Euphorbiaceae.